GCGCCUUUAGCUCAGUUGGUAGAGCACUGGACUUUUAAUCCAUUGGUCGUGGGUUCGAGCCCCACAGGGCGCACCA
RNAcentral lists this transfer RNA (76 nucleotides) under Glutamicibacter creatinolyticus. Its description in RNAcentral is "tRNA-Lys". It matches the Rfam family "tRNA". Rfam says of the family: Transfer RNA (tRNA) molecules are approximately 80 nucleotides in length. Their secondary structure includes four short double-helical elements and three loops (D, anti-codon, and T loops). Further hydrogen bonds mediate the characteristic L-shaped molecular structure. tRNAs have two regions of fundamental functional importance: the anti-codon, which is responsible for specific mRNA codon recognition, and the 3' end, to which the tRNAs corresponding amino acid is attached (by aminoacyl-tRNA synthetases). tRNAs cope with the degeneracy of the genetic code in two manners: having more than one tRNA (with a specific anti-codon) for a particular amino acid; and 'wobble' base-pairing, i.e. permitting non-standard base-pairing at the 3rd anti-codon position. The record is from RNAcentral. Lineage: Bacteria; Bacillati; Actinomycetota; Actinomycetes; Micrococcales; Micrococcaceae. RNAcentral also lists the same sequence under 2 other names.